Molecule: long non-coding RNA, 2530 nt
Organism: Triticum aestivum (bread wheat)
Lineage: Eukaryota; Viridiplantae; Streptophyta; Magnoliopsida; Poales; Poaceae
Exons: 7
Source: RefSeq, a predicted model, not a curated record
CAUACAAGACGGACACGGGAUUACUCUAACAUCCAUCCCUUCGCACCUUCGCACCAGAUCCAUCCCUUUGCCACCGCCAAUCCAACCCUUCGCCACCCUUCCAUCCCUUCGCCGCUGCCGCUUCAGGAGACGCCGCCGAUCGCGCCCUGGAGCCGCACGGCGAUCCCCUUCAGGAGCCGCACGCCCAUCCCCUGAGCCGGCACCGAUCCCCGUUGAAGAGCAGCCGCCGCUUCAGGAGACGCCGCCGGUCACGCCCUGGAGCCGCACGGCGAUCCCCUUCAGGAGCCGCACGCCCAUCCCCUGUGCCGGCGCCGAUCCCCGUUGAAGAGCCACCGACAAGGUCAUUGCGGAUAUAGAUGAAUCUAAAUAGUGUGACGGUCUGAGUACUCGUGGGCGUGAUGAGGUGACUACGGAGCCACCAGAACAUGCGAGUGGCAAUGCUUCAGGACAAGCAGCCAGCGAUGGCAUAGCUUCACAGAAUGGAGUACGACGUAGGUGUUCAAGGAUUGUAUCAGGUCGCAUGCGAAGAUCCUGAAGUUGCAAGUAGAUACAGUCAAGAACAUAGUUAAAGGUGAUAUGGGAGAUAAGUUCCCUAGGCAAGCUGGAUUGAAGCUUGAUGAGCCGAACCCAAGGGACGUGCUUAGUUUCUACCACAAAAUUCUAUCAUUCAUAACAACCGAUGUUGCAAAGAGUUCAGGCUGAAUGGUCAGAUAACAAGAAUCGGGUGGAUCUGCAUGUGGUGGAUGAUCGUUUACAAGGAAGGUUGAAUGUAUGGUUCCUCGAGAUGAUCAGAUGGUGCCACGUAUUCGACCUCGAUUUGUGGUAAGUUCCAAAAUGUACAGUCAAAAUCAGUCUUUGAGAUACGGAUAAAUUGGUUUGCACAUAAAAUUCAUCACGCAACUGUUAUAAUUUGGGUGCGAUUCGUAGAGCCUUUUGAAGUUUUGAUGCAUGUCGAUAUGGCAUAACAUCAGACAUCUUGGAAUAAAAUUAAUUUUCUCCCCGCCGUCUCAUGAUAGAGAAUUCACUAUAUGUGUUUAAUCCAUGAAUAAAUUAGAAUAUGCUCUUCUUUAUUAUUACUUUUGGAAGAAUCAGACUGCAAUAUACAAUCAGUCAGGAGAUUGGCUUCCCUGGAGAUUCAAAAUGAUGGACAAUCAGUCAGGAGAAGAUAUAUGAAAGGAAUGCAUAGCCUAAAUGUGUACAUUGGCUUCCCUGGAAAAAAUUGGUGUGAGUGUGAAGCCAACUCUAAAAGUGGGGUCUGUUCAAGUAGAAGGAACAUGCCAAGAUGAAAGAAGACGGAGCAAAAAAAACCUUAAGAGGCACGAACGCAACAGCAACACUAUCUAAAACGUCACGCACUUCUGUCAAGGAAUAGAAUGGAAUCUGGAAUGAAAGAAAGAGGAAGAGUUCGCACCCACCUUCUCUCAAAGCCGCCGCUUUGAGUUCGUGUCGGCCCUACUGCAGUCGGCAGUGGUCAAGGUCGACCUGCGUGCCGCAGGGGAGCAUCACCGCCCUACACGCCGAGGGGCGCCAUGCGCUGGCUCCCACGUGCGGUUUGACCAACAAGUCGAGAUUGCGCGUGCGGAGGUAGAAGGCAAGGAAGGGGAAUCAGGCGUGCCCGCCCCGCACAACAUCAGGCCACAUGGAAGCUCCCAAGCACGAAAACAAACGCUCACUACUCUCUCCUUCUCGGAUUGCUGGCAUCGCUCCAGAUGGGUGAAGAGAGCUGAGCAUUGGUGGUGAAGCUGGAGGAGGAUGGAGGAAUAAUAGUCAUUUUGGAGCUAGCUACGACCUCCUCUGGAUGUUUCAUAGGGUUCUGCACAAUGUGUUCUCCUGCAAUUUGGUCACCAAGGCCGCUGAAAUGAUUUGGCAUCUGAACUUUGUCAAGUCCUUAUUGGAAGACGCGGAUUGCAGAUCAUGAUAUCCCUGUAAGACCAAGAUUUUGAUGCUCCUGUUACCUGACAUCGAAGUCGAGUAACAUGUUUUUGGUCAUGAUUCCUGUUGUGCUUCUGUACGUGCUACCAUCGUUUAAUUCUUGGUAUGCUUGUCCCUGAUACUCGGAUCAUGAUUUCAUUGCACCUUGAAAGCUUCAUGUGAUGACAUGAUCAGGAUGCCAAGGAUUCGUGUUAUCUACUGAAAAAGGCUUUCGCCCCACUUUAUAUAUAAAGCAAUGAUCAAUAGCACCCGGUACAAACACACACCCUCACAACAGACGCACACACACACACCCAAGGCAUAAUACGUAGGCGCUGAGCACAGCAACACCAACCCUAGCACUAUGCGAAGAGGUGAAGCCGCAUAUGACGAACCGUGGGCUCCAAGGCGGCGCCUUCAGGAAGGGGACGACACCGGAGCGCCACCACCGCCCGAUCUGAGGAUCAGAGUUUCCCUUGGAGCAACAUGAGAAGCAAUGAGAGCCGCGACGAUGCCUUCAAGAAGGGAAUGAGCUUCGCCGCCGCCGGUCCGUCCGAGGAUAGAGCGGGUUUUCACCCCGGCCACCAAUCACCACCACCGAGCGCCACACCCCGGUUAC